GGAAUAUUGGUCAAUGGUCGCAAGACUGAACCAGCCAAGUAGCGUGCGGGAUGACGGCCCUAUGGGUUGUAAACCGCUUUUGCAGGGGAAUAAAGUCGCGGACGUGUCCGCGUUUGCAUGUACCCUGAGAAUAAGGACCGGCUAAUUCCGUGCCAGCAGCCGCGGUAAUACGGAAGGUCCGGGCGUUAUCCGGAUUUAUUGGGUUUAAAGGGAGCGCAGGCUGGCUGUUAAGCGUGCUGUGAAAUGCCGCGGCUCAACCGUGGAAGUGCAGCGCGAACUGGCGGUCUUGAGUGUGUACGACGUAGGCGGAAUUCGUGGUGUAGCGGUGAAAUGCUUAGAUAUCACGAAGAACCCCGAUUGCGAAGGCAGCCUACGAGUCCAUAACUGACGCUAAAGCUCGAAGGUGCGGGUAUCGAACA
RNAcentral lists this ribosomal RNA (419 nucleotides) under uncultured Prevotella sp. RNAcentral's name for it is "bacterial SSU rRNA". It matches the Rfam family "Bacterial small subunit ribosomal RNA", at positions 358 to 774 of the family's 1533-position model. The record is from RNAcentral. Lineage: Bacteria; Pseudomonadati; Bacteroidota; Bacteroidia; Bacteroidales; Prevotellaceae.